RNAcentral lists this ribosomal RNA (253 nucleotides) under uncultured bacterium. RNAcentral's name for it is "partial 16S ribosomal RNA". It matches the Rfam family "Bacterial small subunit ribosomal RNA", at positions 524 to 776 of the family's 1533-position model. The record is from RNAcentral.
UACAGAGGUCUCAAGCGUUGUUCGGAUUCAUUGGGCGUAAAGGGUGCGCAGGCGGCGUGGUUAGUUGAGUGUGAAAUCCCGGGGCUUAACCUCGGAACUGCACUCAAUACUGCCAUGCUAGAGGACUGUAGAGGAGAUUGGAAUUCCCGGUGUAGCGGUGAAAUGUGUAGAGAUCGGGAGGAACACCGGUGGCGAAGGCGGGUUGCUGGGCCGACACUGACGCUGAAGCGCGAAAGCCAGGGGAGCGAACAGG